RNAcentral lists this ribosomal RNA (1477 nucleotides) under uncultured Acidobacteriota bacterium. Its description in RNAcentral is "uncultured Acidobacteria bacterium 16S ribosomal RNA". It matches the Rfam family "Bacterial small subunit ribosomal RNA". Lineage: Bacteria; Pseudomonadati; Acidobacteriota. The record is from RNAcentral.
UCAUGGCUCAGAAUCAACGCUGGCGGCGUGCCUAACACCUGCAAGUCGAACGGGAAAGCACUUUUCGGAGUGCGAGUAUAGAGGCGAACGGGGGAGUAACGCGUGGGUGAUCUACCCUUGGGUGGGGGAUAACCCGGGUAAACCCGGGCUAAUACCGCAUACGCCUUUGUUUGUAAGGGACUGAAGGGAAAGUUUUUGGAUGCCGAAUGAGGAGCCCGCGUCCGAUUAGCUAGUUGGUGAGGUAAGGGCUCACCAAGGCGACGAUUGGUAACCGGUCUGACAGGACGGACGGUCACACUGGGACUGAUACACCGCCCAUACUCCUACGGGAGGUAGCAGUGGGGAAUUUUGGGAAAUGGGCGCAAGCCUGACCCGGCAACGCCGCGUGGAGGAUGAAGGUUUUCGGAUCGUAAACUCCUGUCUAGAGGGAAGAAGCAAGUGACGGCACCUCUGGAGGAAGCCCCGGCUAACUCCGUGCCAGCAGCCGCGGUAAUACGGGGGGGGCGAGCGUUGUUCGGAAUUACUGGCCGUAAAGCGCGCGUAAGCGGUUUCGGAAGUCAUGUGGGAAAGUCCUCGGCUCAACCGAGGGAUUGCCUGUGAUACCACGGGACUGGAGUGCUGGAGAGGUAAGCGGGAAUUCCCAGUGUAGCGUUGAAAUGCGUAGAUAUUGGAGGGAACACCCGUGGCGAAGGCGGCUUCCUGGACAGUCACUGACGCUGAGGCGCGAAAGCCAGGGGAGCGAACGGGAUUAGAUAGCCCGGUAGUCCUGGCUGUAAACGAUGAACACUUGGUGUGGGGGGUGAAGAAAGUCCCUCUGUGCCGGAGAGAACUCAUUAAGUGUUCCACGUGGGGAGUACGGCUGCAAGGCUGAACAUCAAAGGAAUUGACGGGGGCCCGCACAAGCGGUGGAGCAUGUGGUUUAAUUAGACGCAACGCGAAGAACCUUACCGGGGUUUGAACUGUACUCGAACGACCUAGAGAUGGGGAGGUUCCUUUCGGGGAUGGGUACAGAGGUGCGGCAUGGCUGUCGUCAGCUCGUGUCGUGAGAUGUUGGGUUAAGUCCCGCAACGAGCGCAACCCUUGUCUGUAGUUCCCAUCAGGUGAAGCUGGGCACUCUACGGAGACUGUCGCCGAGAAGCCGGAGGAAGGUGGGGAUGACGUCAAGUCCUCAUGGCCUUUAUGUCCCGGGCUACACACGUGCUACAAUGGGCGGUACAGAGGGCAGCGAACCUGUGAAGGCAAGCGAAUCCCAGAAAACCGCUCUCAGUUCGGAUUGCAGUCUGCAACUCGACUGCAUGAAGUUGGAAUCGCUAGUAAUCGCGGAUCAGAACGCCGCGGCGAAUACGUUCCCGGGCCUUGUACACACCGCCCCUCACAUCACGAAAGUGGGUUGUACUAGAAGCCGCCGGCCUAACCUUCGGGGAGGAGGCGUCGACGGUAUGGCUCAUGAUUGGGGUGAAGUAGGAACAAGGUAACC